UGCAUAUUGCCCUGUAAGC
RNAcentral lists this unclassified non-coding RNA (19 nucleotides) under Chlamydomonas reinhardtii. Its description in RNAcentral is "small RNA Cre_3034". The record is from RNAcentral. Lineage: Eukaryota; Viridiplantae; Chlorophyta; Chlorophyceae; Chlamydomonadales; Chlamydomonadaceae.